RNAcentral lists this non-coding RNA (164 nucleotides) under uncultured Cetobacterium sp. The record is from RNAcentral. Lineage: Bacteria; Fusobacteriati; Fusobacteriota; Fusobacteriia; Fusobacteriales; Fusobacteriaceae.
UAAAGUGUUAUGGUUCAAUUCGAUUAAAAGGGAAUUGAGUGAAAAUCUCAAACGGUCCCGCCACUGUAAGGAUGACGAAAGUAGAUAAACCACUGAAGUGUAAUAAACUUUGGGAAGGGCUACAAGUAGGACGAAGCCGAGUCAGGAGACCUGCCAUUAACAAA